RNAcentral lists this ribosomal RNA (119 nucleotides) under Pteropus alecto (black flying fox). The record is from RNAcentral. Lineage: Eukaryota; Metazoa; Chordata; Mammalia; Chiroptera; Pteropodidae.
GUCUACGGCCAUGCUACUCUGAACAAGCCUGAUCCCAUCUGAUCUUGAAAGCUAAGCAGGGUCAGGCCUCUUUAGUACUUGGAUGGGAGACCACCUAGGAAGACCAGGUGCUGUAGGUG